UUAAGCGACUAAGCGUACACGGUGGAUGCCCUGGCAGUCAGAGGCGAUGAAGGGCGUGCUAAUCUGCGAUAAGCGCCGGUAAGGUGAUAUGAACCGUUAUAACCGGCGAUACCCGAAUGGGGAAACCCAGUGUGACUCGUCACACUAUCAUUAACUGAAUCCAUAGGUUAAUGAGGCGAACCGGGGGAACUGAAACAUCUAAGUACCCCGAGGAAAAGAAAUCAACCGAGAUUCCCCCAGUAGCGGCGAGCGAACGGGGAGGAGCCCAGAGCCUGAAUCAGCAUGUGUGUUAGUGGAAGCGUCUGGAAAGGCGCGCGAUACAGGGUGACAGCCCCGUACACAAAAGCGCAUGUGCUGUGAGCUCGAUGAGUAGGGCGGGACACGUGGUAUCCUGUCUGAAUAUGGGGGGACCAUCCUCCAAGGCUAAAUACUCCUGACUGACCGAUAGUGAACCAGUACCGUGAGGGAAAGGCGAAAAGAACCCCGGCGAGGGGAGUGAAAAAGAACCUGAAACCGUGUACGUACAAGCAGUGGGAGCACCCUUUGGGGUGUGACUGCGUACCUUUUGUAUAAUGGGUCAGCGACUUAUAUUCUGUAGCAAGGUUAACCGAAUAGGGGAGCCGGAGGGAAACCGAGUCUUAAUUGGGCGUUAAGUUGCAGGGUAUAGACCCGAAACCCGGUGAUCUAGCCAUGGGCAGGUUGAAGGUUGGGUAACACUAACUGGAGGACCGAACCGACUAAUGUUGAAAAAUUAGCGGAUGACCUGUGGCUGGGGGUGAAAGGCCAAUCAAACCGGGAGAUAGCUGGUUCUCCCCGAAAGCUAUUUAGGUAGCGCCUCGUGAAUUCAUCUCCGGGGGUAGAGCACUGUUUCGGCUAGGGGGCCAUCCCGGCUUACCAACCCGAUGCAAACUGCGAAUACCGGAGAAUGUUAUCACGGGAGACACACGGCGGGUGCUAACGUCCGUCGUGAAGAGGGAAACAACCCAGACCGCCAGCUAAGGUCCCAAAGUCAUGGUUAAGUGGGAAACGAUGUGGGAAGGCCCAGACAGCCAGGAUGUUGGCUUAGAAGCAGCCAUCAUUUAAAGAAAGCGUAAUAGCUCACUGGUCGAGUCGGCCUGCGCGGAAGAUGUAACGGGGCUAAACCAUGCACCGAAGCUGCGGCAGCGACGCUGAUGCGUUGUUGGGUAGGGGAGCGUUCUGUAAGCCUGCGAAGGUGGCCUGUGAGGGUUGCUGGAGGUAUCAGAAGUGCGAAUGCUGACAUAAGUAACGAUAAAGCGGGUGAAAAGCCCGCUCGCCGGAAGACCAAGGGUUCCUGUCCAACGUUAAUCGGGGCAGGGUGAGUCGACCCCUAAGGCGAGGCCGAAAGGCGUAGUCGAUGGGAAACGGGUUAAUAUUCCCGUACUUGGUGUUACUGCGAAGGGGGGACGGAGAAGGCUAUGUUGGCCGGGCGACGGUUGUCCCGGUUUAAGCGUGUAGGCUGGUUUUCCAGGCAAAUCCGGAAAAUCAAGGCUGAGGCGUGACGACGAGGCACUACGGUGCUGAAGCAACAAAUGCCCUGCUUCCAGGAAAAGCCUCUAAGCAUCAGGUAACAUCAAAUCGUACCCCAAACCGACACAGGUGGUCAGGUAGAGAAUACCAAGGCGCUUGAGAGAACUCGGGUGAAGGAACUAGGCAAAAUGGUGCCGUAACUUCGGGAGAAGGCACGCUGACAUGUAGGUGAAGUGAUUUACUCAUGGAGCUGAAGUCAGUCGAAGAUACCAGCUGGCUGCAACUGUUUAUUAAAAACACAGCACUGUGCAAACACGAAAGUGGACGUAUACGGUGUGACGCCUGCCCGGUGCCGGAAGGUUAAUUGAUGGGGUCAGCGCAAGCGAAGCUCCUGAUCGAAGCCCCGGUAAACGGCGGCCGUAACUAUAACGGUCCUAAGGUAGCGAAAUUCCUUGUCGGGUAAGUUCCGACCUGCACGAAUGGCGUAAUGAUGGCCAGGCUGUCUCCACCCGAGACUCAGUGAAAUUGAACUCGCUGUGAAGAUGCAGUGUACCCGCGGCAAGACGGAAAGACCCCGUGAACCUUUACUAUAGCUUGACACUGAACAUUGAGCCUUGAUGUGUAGGAUAGGUGGGAGGCUUUGAAGCGUGGACGCCAGUCUGCGUGGAGCCGACCUUGAAAUACCACCCUUUAAUGUUUGAUGUUCUAACGUGGACCCGUUACCCGGGUUGCGGACAGUGUCUGGUGGGUAGUUUGACUGGGGCGGUCUCCUCCUAAAGAGUAACGGAGGAGCACGAAGGUUGGCUAAUCCUGGUCGGACAUCAGGAGGUUAGUGCAAUGGCAUAAGCCAGCUUGACUGCGAGCGUGACGGCGCGAGCAGGUGCGAAAGCAGGUCAUAGUGAUCCGGUGGUUCUGAAUGGAAGGGCCAUCGCUCAACGGAUAAAAGGUACUCCGGGGAUAACAGGCUGAUACCGCCCAAGAGUUCAUAUCGACGGCGGUGUUUGGCACCUCGAUGUCGGCUCAUCACAUCCUGGGGCUGAAGUAGGUCCCAAGGGUAUGGCUGUUCGCCAUUUAAAGUGGUACGCGAGCUGGGUUUAGAACGUCGUGAGACAGUUCGGUCCCUAUCUGCCGUGGGCGCUGGAGAACUGAGGGGGGCUGCUCCUAGUACGAGAGGACCGGAGUGGACGCAUCACUGGUGUUCGGGUUGUCAUGCCAAUGGCACUGCCCGGUAGCUAAAUGCGGAAGAGAUAAGUGCUGAAAGCAUCUAAGCACGAAACUUGCCCCGAGAUGAGUUCUCCCUGAGACUUUAGGUCUCCUGAAGGAACGUUGAAGACGACGACGUUGAUAGGCCGGGUGUGUAAGCGCAGCGAUGCGUUGAGCUAACCGGUACUAAUGAACCGUGAGGCUUAACCUU
Molecule: ribosomal RNA, 2902 nt
Filed under: Salmonella enterica subsp. enterica serovar Bovismorbificans
Lineage: Bacteria; Pseudomonadati; Pseudomonadota; Gammaproteobacteria; Enterobacterales; Enterobacteriaceae
Description: bacterial LSU rRNA
Rfam family: Bacterial large subunit ribosomal RNA
Source: RNAcentral